RNAcentral lists this ribosomal RNA (250 nucleotides) under uncultured bacterium. RNAcentral describes it as "partial 16S ribosomal RNA". It matches the Rfam family "Bacterial small subunit ribosomal RNA", at positions 524 to 773 of the family's 1533-position model. The record is from RNAcentral.
UACGGAGGGUGCAAGCGUUAAUCGGAAUUACUGGGCGUAAAGGGUGCGUAGGUUGUCAUAUAAGCUAGCUGUGAAAUACCUGGGCUUAACCUGGGUUGGUCAGAUAGGACUGUAUGACUCGAGUACGGGAGAGGGUAGUGGAAUUUCUGGUGUAGCGGUGAAAUGCGUAGAGAUCAGAAGGAACACCGGUGGCGAAGGCGGCUACCUGGCCUGAUACUGACACUGAGGCACGAAAGCGUGGGGAGCAAAC